Molecule: ribosomal RNA, 410 nt
Filed under: uncultured prokaryote
Description: bacterial SSU rRNA
Rfam family: Bacterial small subunit ribosomal RNA
Source: RNAcentral
GUGUCAGCAGCCGCGGUAAUACGUAGGGUGCAAGCGUUGUCCGGAUUUACUGGGUUUAAAGGGUGCGCAGGCGGAGAUGCAAGUCUGCGAUGAAAUGUCAGGGCUCAACCUUGGCACUGUCGUGAAACUGCACCUCUUGAGCGCUGUUGAGGUGGCUGGAAUGAACGGUGUAGCGGUGAAAUGCGUAGAGAUCGUUCAGAACACCAAUUGCGAAGGCAGGUCACUAAGCACGCGCUGACGCUCAGGCACGAAAGCGUGGGGAGCGAACAGGAUUAGAUACCCUGGUAGUCCACGCCCUAAACGAUGGAUACUAGAUAUUUUAUCAACUGAUAAAGUGUCCCAGCGAAAGCGGUAAGUAUCCCACCUGGGGAGUACGCUCGCAAGGGUGAAACUCAAAGGAAUUGACGGGG